Pecten maximus is the source of this 3911-nucleotide long non-coding RNA. RefSeq lists it as uncharacterized. The transcript is spliced from 2 exons. The record is from RefSeq and is a predicted model, not a curated record. Lineage: Eukaryota; Metazoa; Mollusca; Bivalvia; Pectinida; Pectinidae.
UGUUAAUGCCCUUAGAUUCUCUUGAGCAGUGGUGGGUGUUCGGAAUAAAAAAAAAAUGUACUUUUGACGUUUGGGUUAAUUUUUUUUCUUCUAAAAAUAGCCUAAUAACAAUAUGCAGACGACUGUGUUAAAACUAAAUAUAAUGAAACAUAACCUUUUUUCCUUAUUAUGACACAAGAACAUUCUGUUUGAAAGAUGAAAGACUAAUUUCUAAAAAGAAGCCACUAACUAGAUUCACACGACUGCGGUAAAACUUUAUAUAAUAAAACAUAACCUUUUUUUCUUAUUAUGACACAUGAGCAUUCUGUUUAAAAGAUGAAAGACUAAUUAAAUACUGUUUAUAAUAAGGUCAUUUAAGAAAGUUCCCAUUUUACCAAACCUGAGUAUCUGACAGUUACACUAUUCCGCUUAUCAAUGAGUGUGAUUACUGUGGAUAAUUUUACCAUGGCUAACGAGUUAAUAAUCCGGUACUAUGUCUGUUAUUCCUGGUAUAUAUAGCAUGUACACUAUCCUCCGACCAGAAUGAUACUCUCUAACCUUAGGGACCCGGCACUAAUCAUUUAAUGGUGUUAAGACAACCCUACUAAUUAUGUCCAGAUAGCUAGAGCAGCGCCACUAAUCAAAUCGGUUUAACACAGGGUAGGUAACUCUUAAUGUGUGAAUAAAAGACAAUAGAAAUAUGUAAACGUCUAUAAACGAGUCGGUGCUCGUACUGGGGUUAGACGUAACCAAUACACAUAGAUUUUAUGCGUCGAUAAAAGUGUGGUGCAGGUACAGUCGUAUGCGUGUCGCGUGACAUUCUCCUAAGUGAUAACAAACUAGUUACUCAUUCACCCGAAUACCUAGGGUUGGGCCAAGUAAUAUAGGUAUUUAAAUCAAAUCGAUCAAAAGGAAUAUGUACUUAUCACUUCAAAAUCAAAUCCCGUGUAAAAUACAUUGGUAUAUAAAUCGUCUAAUAUAUAUAUACUUAUUGUCGGUCUGACAAGCCGAAGAAAUAAUAUGGGGAGCCGAGGGGCCCAGCGUGGGGUAUAAUCCUCAUAGAAUGUUUCCAAGGGAUAUAUAGUUGUAAUAUAAUUUAUUUUAUAAAUUUAUGAAUAAUUAAUAUAACACGACUGGAAGCCAGUGUUCGGGUUAGUGAUUUUGUGAAGCUACUAGCAGUUUCAUUUUUCGUGUGGUGUCAUAUUUAAACUGACACUCGCUAUUAUUUGCACAUGUAGAUAAAAGUUAUAUAUAGCAUUAUAUACCUGUUCGCACUGCCGAACACAAAAGGUGACUGUUUCUCAUGUCGGAGUCUGCCUCGCUGUCACUGGAGCAUAAAUCACGUGAUGUCUAAUGACGCUGUUGUGAGGAUAUCGUUGAAUACAGACGACAUUAUAUUUGCUGCUCAACAAAUUAUCUCUCAGACGACAAGUGAAUUUUUACCGACACUUAUUGGUGUUACAACGCUGGUGUUUGUGGUGAUUGCUGCUGCAUCUUUCUGUGGAUCAUUCCUAAGUUUGUGUUUAUACAAAAGGUAUACAUGUUGUUGUCCAGCACCGCGGCGACGUUAUAGACACCGCGAUGAAGAAGAAGACGACGACGAUGAGGACAAUCCAGAUCGUCCCCGACCACCUAGAUACAAUGCAAAUUCAUAUCCACAAAACGAAACGUUCUUAUGAGAAUAUACAACAUCUCUACAAAACCAAACUUCAUUGUUUAUGAUGUUGCUGUGUAUGUGGUAGUAUGAGUUAGAACAGAAGAGGAGCGUAUAUCUGAUGAUUUACAUUUGUGUUCUGUGUGUAACAAAGUGGAUGUCGAUAACUGAUGAAAAAACCACCGUCAUUUUGGAAUUCUGAAUUCUGAGGAACAUUUUGAUAGAUGUCGUGACGUUGCUGUGUGGACGAAUACAUCGCUCCCUCAUUGCUUGGAUGUCUGAAUAAAAACUUUUUGAGAGAGAGAGAGAGAGAGAGAGAGAGAGAGAGAGAGAGAGAGAGAGAGAGCUAUAUAUUUAUAUAAGUAAUUAGUACAGUUUAGAAUUAUUUUCGAGUCCGAUAACUCAAGUUAUUGAACGAGUUCGAACGAUUCCAUAUGCCAAUGAUUCGUGUGUAAGAUUUCAUUUAUCACAUAAUUCAUACAUAUAAUUAGUAAAAUCUUCACACUUAUUUCCCCACCUGACGAAAAACAUUCACUGCCGGGGCAAUCGGUGAUGUCUUUUAUUGAUGACGUCACACUAGUGUUAUUACACAUCACCUCUGAAAUCCAAGGGUUGGCUUCUCGAUUGGUUAUCUCGCCUUACGUGAACACAGCCACUUGAAUUUCAUAGAUGAUUAAACAUAUGUGCCAUGCUUUAUCUAUGGCAUGAGCGUAUUACACGGCGGAGGGACCGAACUACAGUAAAUCACUUAAAUUUUACGAAUACUUUAUUUCGCGAACUUUCCUCUUCCCACGGGAAAUUGACUCUCAUCGCCUGUUAUCGCGAAAAUGAAUUGCACGCGAAAUGUAAGUGAUUAACCGUAUAUUACAAAUCAUCAUACGUUUAUGCCAAUCUCGAACAUACCAAAGUCAGUUUUCCCUUGUUGACCUGUAAAUGAAUUUAAGGAUAUAAUUGUUAUGUUAUUUUUGCGAAAAAAUCUUUUAUGUAGCGAUUGUCAUGAUGGAUGUUUUAAAUAUUCAAAGUUGGAUGAAUGUGAAUGUGAAAUUCAGUAUCAGCCACCGACAGGGAGGAAUUGAUCCUCCUCGUCUUAAAGCAUUAUUGGUAAUACUGGAUGGGAUUUAUGUGUUUUCGCACAGAGGUCUGACCAUAUAUCCGAGACUGAUGUAAUCUUAAAUGGGCCUGUACCCUGGAGUGGACCGUGGAGUGGACCGUGGAGUAGUAUAUCGUCACCCUCGUGUAAGUGUUGGGCUGACCAGAACCAGGCUUUCCUGUCGAUACUGGCCAGUCAAACUCUUACGUGAGAGAUGAGUUAUUCCUGCCCAUGGUACAGACCCGUAUUUGACUAUACUUCUCACAUAUUUAAAGUAGGUUACUGCUGUGAUUUCAUUCCUCGCGCAAUCACCAAUGCCCUAUGAAAUGUGUGUUGAAAUCGAUGACGUUAUCAAAAUGAGACAUUGUAAGGGUACAUCAAAUGAUGACGCUAUUGUGAGUAGCGAACCAGCUCUCUUUCCCCACCCUUGUGAGAUUGGUUAUCUUUUCCAUAGCAACCGCGGGAUUACCCUGACAAGUAUGUGAGAAUAUUAUUUCUCACACGGGGGUAAAGACAGCUGGCAGGCGCUAUAUGACGCUGCUCACAAAAACGUAACGUCAUCAUUUUACGUUGAGUAGCCAUGUCGUAAAUGAUGACGUCAUUAAUUUUGACGCACAUUCCAGGAAGUAUUGCAGAUGGCGCGAUGAAAAACUUUCAUAAAAGGUUUUAUUUGCUUGCAAGUAUCCGAGAAAAACAGGGGUCUGUUCCGCGAACAAGGAUAUCUGAACCCUCGUGUGAGAGUUUGGCUGGCCCGCACAAGGUUUGACUGGCCAAACUCUUACACUCGGGUUGAUAUAUCUCUUUUCACGGAACAGACCCAUGUUAGAUUCUAUUAUUCCACUCUUUAACCUGCAUCUGCCAAAUAUUCCAUCAUGCGAACAAUGUUGAUGUAAUUGCUGAUAUUUGUGUUGUGCAAUUUUCCUGAUACCACCAACUAUUUAGAAUGUAUGUUAUGUAAAUAUCAUAUAUGUUGUUCACCUGAGGGCUGAUAAUGGAUAUGAUAGGAUCAUAUGAUCGUAUUAUCAUGAUAUUUUUAUCAUUGGUAAGUACUCAAUGUCAUUUAUAUUUACAUAUUUAUCUAAUAUGAUAAAAUAUAUACAUGUAUCGAUGCCAAGAAUAAGUUUAUUGCUGUAACAUGUUAUAAACGAGUCUUUUAACUAGUCAAUAACCAGACAAUGAAAGAUAAUU